RNAcentral lists this ribosomal RNA (734 nucleotides) under uncultured bacterium. RNAcentral describes it as "bacterial SSU rRNA". It matches the Rfam family "Bacterial small subunit ribosomal RNA", at positions 28 to 757 of the family's 1533-position model. The record is from RNAcentral.
AACGAACGUUAGCGGCGCGCUUAACACAUGCAAGUCGAACGAGAAAGCACCUUCGGGUGUGAGUAAAGUGGCGCACGGGUGAGUAACACGUAGGUAAUCUACCUAUUGGUGGGGGACAACAUCCUGAAAGGGGUGCUAAUACCGCAUAAGUCCACUUCGGUGGGGAAAGGCGGCUUCGGCUGUCGCCAAUAGAUGAGCCUGCGGCCCAUCAGCUAGUUGGUAGGGUAAAGGCCUACCAAGGCAAAGACGGGUAGCUGAUCUGAGAGGAUGAUCAGUCACACUGGAACUGAGACACGGUCCAGACUCCUACGGGAGGCAGCAGUGGGGAAUAUUGCGCAAUGGGCGAAAGCCUGACGCAGCGACGCCGCGUGGGUGAUGAAGGUUUUCGGAUCGUAAAGCCCUGUCGGAGAGGGAAUAACAACUUUGGAGCAAAUAACCCCAGAGCCUGAAGGUACCUCUUCAGAAAGCACCGGCUAACUCCGUGCCAGCAGCCGCGGUAAUACGGAGGGUGCAAACGUUGUUCGGAAUUACUGGGCGUAAAGCGCGUGUAGGCGGCACGUUAAGUCAGAUGUGAAAUCCCUCGGCUCAACCGAGGAAGUGCAUUUGAAACUGGCGAGCUAGAGUACGGGAGAGGGUUGUAGAAUUCCCGGUGUAGAGGUGAGAUUCGUAGAUAUCGGGAGGAAUACCGGUGGCGAAGGCGGCAACCUGGACCGAUACUGACGCUGAGACGCGAA